GACGAACGCUGGCGGCGUGCUUAACACAUGCAAGUCGAACGGAAAGGCCCUGCUUUUGUGGGGUGCUCGAGUGGCGAACGGGUGAGUAACACGUGAGUAACCUGCCCUUGACUUUGGGAUAACUUCAGGAAACUGGGGCUAAUACCGGAUAGGAGCUCCUGCUGCAUGGUGGGGGUUGGAAAGUUUCGGCGGUUGGGGAUGGACUCGCGGCUUAUCAGCUUGUUGGUGGGGUAGUGGCUUACCAAGGCUUUGACGGGUAGCCGGCCUGAGAGGGUGACCGGCCACACUGGGACUGAGAUACGGCCCAGACUCCUACGGGAGGCAGCAGUGGGGAAUAUUGCACAAUGGGCGGAAGCCUGAUGAAGCAACGCCGCGUGCGGGAUGACGGCCUUCGGGUUGUAAACCGCCUUCGCCUGUGACGAAGCGUGAGUGACGGUAAUGGGUAAAGAAGCACCGGCUAACUACGUG
Molecule: ribosomal RNA, 468 nt
Filed under: uncultured bacterium
Lineage: Bacteria
Description: partial 16S ribosomal RNA
Rfam family: Bacterial small subunit ribosomal RNA
Source: RNAcentral